RNAcentral lists this ribosomal RNA (838 nucleotides) under uncultured organism. Its description in RNAcentral is "bacterial SSU rRNA". It matches the Rfam family "Bacterial small subunit ribosomal RNA", at positions 507 to 1340 of the family's 1533-position model. The record is from RNAcentral.
GCCAGCAGCGCGGGUAAGACAAAUGUGGCNAGCGUUGUUCGGAAUCACUGGGCAUAAAGGGCACGUAGGCGGCGUAGUAAGUUAACUGUGAAAUCCCCCGGCUCAACCGGGGAACUGCAGUUAAUACUGCUGUGCUAGAGUGCAGAAGAGGAGAGUGGGAUUCUAGGUGUAGCGGUGGAAUGCGAAGAUAUCUAGGAGAAGGCCGGUGGCGAAAGCGACCCUCUGGUCUGUUACUGACGCUGAGGUGCGAGAGCGCAGGUAGCGAACGGGAUUAGAUACCCCGGUAGUCUGUGCCGUAAACGAUGGGCACUAGAUGGUGGAGGCGCCGAUAGCUUUCUCCGUCGCAGCUAAUACGUUAAGUGCCCCGCCUGGGGAGUAUGGCCGCAAGGUUAAAACUCAAAGGAAUUGACGGGGGCCCACACAAGCGGUGGAGGAUGUGGCUUAAUUCGAGGAUACCCGUAAAACCUUACCGAGGCUUGACAUGCAGGUGGUAGUGAAGUGAAAGCGGAACGACCCGAAUAGGGAGCCUGCACAGGUGCUGCAUGGCUGUCGACAGCUCGUGUCGUGAGAUGUUAGGUUAAAUCCUGUAACGAGCGAAACCCUUGUGCUUAAUUGCCAGCGCGUUAUGGCGGGGACCUUAAGCAGACUGCCCCGGCCAACGGGGAGGAAGGUGGGGAUGACGUCAAGUCAGCAUGGCCUUUAUGCCUCGGGCUGCACACGUCCUACAAUGGGCUGUACAAUGGGGACCCAAACCGCAAGGUGGAGGAAAUCCUAUAAAGCAGUCCUCAGUUCGGAUUGCAGGCUGAAAUUCGCCUGCAUGAAGAUGGAAUCGCUAGUA